ACCGUCUCCCCCAUGAUGCUGGUGGGAAACCACCACGACACGAGCACUCUUGCCGGAGAGGCACUCUCAAUCUCCGCUGAUGACUGCUUUCCCUGAUAGCUGAGGGAUCUGCCGGUGAGGUCCUGACAACUGUUCAAAAGGAGCAAAAAAGCAAGUGUUGAUCUAUUAUUUCCCUCAUAGAGCAUUGUAAGCACGAGCAGAUGUUCGCCAAGUGUGUGUUUUAAAAUACACUGUAAUUGCAAGCAAGUAACAGCGGUGAUGUAUACUUGUACAUACUUCUUCUGUGAUCUGAACAACAAAGCGAGCAACACCUCCUUAAAAAAUCUCCACACCUCUUAAAUCAGUAGGGGGAAAGGGUGUAAGCACCUAGGCGCUAGGGCAGAACAAAACGCAUUGCUUAAGCCUGCGCUUAGGCAAGAUAUGUGCUAGUCAGUGGGAAAAUCCAAAGUUAACAAUUAGAGGUUUUUCCCUGGUCCUAAAUAAAAAGACUCGAAAGCCAUGUAAAUUGUGUAAAGCAGAGCAAAGAAGUAGAAAAGCAGAACAUAACUUCAGAAGAAGAAACUGAAGUAAUGGACUAAGGUAUAUGUUUUAACCAAACACUAUCAUACUUUGGAAUAUUGUUCCUUAUUUCAAGUGUACAGAAGAACCAAGAGCAGCAUGAAUCACUUGCCCAUAGCAUAAAGUUUCUGCAUCAUAGCAUCAAGAAGCUGUAUCAUAGCAUCAAGAAGCACUUUCUGAUUAGUAAACUACAAUUUGGAAGGUUAAGUUGCUGCAUCAUAGUAUCAAGAAGCACUUUUUGUUGGGAUCUUAACUUUGUCCAUCACGACAGACUGAUUACACAAGAAAGACACUGUAAGCAAGUGUUGGAAGCUUCAUAGUGUAUGAUUUGAGACGUUUAUCCAUCUAUUAUUUUCCCGUGACAAAAAGAGUGUUGUUAAACAAUGGUAAUAGUAGAAUUUUGGAAGUCUGGCAAUUACAAUACAGUAAAUGCCUAUCCUGAAGUUAAAACUAAAUAAAACCAGGGUUUAUAAGUGUAUUUCACAGAUAAUUGUUCAUGUUGCUUGAAUCAUAAUUGAAUCGAUAAUAUGAUUUUCCAUGUCACAUUAUUAUGCUAACUGGGAUUGUAGUAGAAAAGGCAGGAUAACAGUACUAUACUCCACUCUUUUUCCUAUUGGGAAGAACCACCUCUCCUAUCCCAUUCUCUGAAUUUUCAUAUAGAUAACCUUCAAUUUUCUCUUUGUUCUUUCCAUUUUAUUUCAGUAGCUCCUUCAAUUCAUAUGAUUGGUUUUGUUUCAUCGAUGGACCCUAAGCGGUUAAUGCAUGAACUUGCUAAAAUGUUCAGAAUGACGCAGUUACUACAUCUAAUUCAAUAGUAGUGCUUCUGCAUUAGCGUACGUACCUAUGGUACGGAUGACUGUUUACAAACCUGAGUCAUAAUCAACAGUGCCGUUAAACAAUGGUGAUAGUAACUUAAUGUGCAGUUCACAUGUACAAAUUCGAACUCUUAUGUUUUAGCUAGGAUAUGUAUGCUAGUUAGGAAAUCUUAAAGGAGAGCUGGUAAAUAUCAAGAGGCAUAUGCAUACAACCGUAGAUGAUAAUUUUUCCGAGAAUAACAGGGCUUUCAGGUUGUUGUAGUUGAACAGGAUUCAUGCAUAUACUAUCUUGCAGGCAGCAAGAAAAUAGGGGAUCAACAUGUAUUUCCAUGCAUCAACAGAUUAUUCACAUGUCGAUUAAGAAGCACACGCAACAAGGAUCGAUAGGUUGACUAAAGAAGAUUAGUUCGCGAAAACAUACUGUGUCAUCGCUCAAGGCUUACCUGAAGGUGAGUGAGGUGGCCUGAUCUGGUGAGAAUCCACAAGAGGAGCUGAAGUGCUGCCGUGAUGCAUAGAUGGGAGAGAGCGGAUCUUGCGGGCGAGGGAGCAUAUACCUGAGACAGAGCCAG
RNAcentral lists this long non-coding RNA (1942 nucleotides) under Triticum aestivum (bread wheat). Its description in RNAcentral is "long non-coding RNA (TAES_LNC016237)". The record is from RNAcentral. Lineage: Eukaryota; Viridiplantae; Streptophyta; Magnoliopsida; Poales; Poaceae.